Molecule: ribosomal RNA, 97 nt
Filed under: uncultured bacterium
Lineage: Bacteria
Description: partial 16S ribosomal RNA
Rfam family: Bacterial small subunit ribosomal RNA
Source: RNAcentral
CACACCGCCCGUCACAUCACGAAAGCCUUUUGUACUAGAAGCCGGCAAUUCGACCGCAAGGAGAUAGCCGUCCAAGGUAUGAAUGGUGAUUGGGGUG